Molecule: long non-coding RNA, 484 nt
Filed under: Musa acuminata (dwarf banana)
Lineage: Eukaryota; Viridiplantae; Streptophyta; Magnoliopsida; Zingiberales; Musaceae
Description: long non-coding RNA (MACU_LNC004801)
Source: RNAcentral
GCCAAGACUAAGUCCACUACGGAACGAUUCCUCGGAGAUAUUCUUGAUGGGAGGAUAUCUUCUGAGAUCUCAUCUCAUCGUAGACCCUCUGCUCUCGCCUAUUAAAGGACAGGAUCUCUAGGGGUUGUUAAGGGUGGUUAGUGUGUUAGAGCGUCGCAUCUCUCCGUUGAGGAAUUCAGUUAUUCUCCUCGACUCUCUCCCCCAAAACCCUCUCCCCAAAUCCAUCAAUUUGUGUGAUCCUGUGAAAGGAUAGGAAGAGAGGAGAAAGGGUCUACUCUUCGCACUCUCUGCAGAUUCCGCAGCGCGAUCGGAUUAAAGACGGAGCGCAGCAAUCUUGGAUCACGGUGCUGAGCAGAUCAAACAAGAUCUCUGAACGGAUGGCAUCAAAAGGUACGCAUCGUAUAAUUAGAUCUAUGUAUUGAAUUUCAAAUCCUGGCAUAUAGGUUAAUUCCGCAUUAUUGAUUUAGCAUAAUUACAGAUUUUU